Molecule: long non-coding RNA, 7607 nt
Filed under: Podarcis lilfordi (Lilford's wall lizard)
Lineage: Eukaryota; Metazoa; Chordata; Lepidosauria; Squamata; Lacertidae
Source: RNAcentral
CUUUCUGGGCUGCUGGGGAAGCCUGCCAAGGCCACUGCCUGCCCUGCGCACCCCCUUCGGGCCCCAAUCCCCCUCCGGAAAGCCUCUGCUGCCCCCAAAAGUGGCAGUGCUGCCGCCCCGUUUUGCCCGCAUGUGGCACCGAGAGGCGCAGCUCAGCGCCGCCCUGGGCACUCAGCAGGCCAGCCUCCCCUUUGCCCCCAGCCUCCCCUGCAUGAAGGUAGGACCACCCAAAAGCAGCUGUGUAAUUAAAAGAAGAUGAGAAAAAAAAUCAUCAAACCAAUUCUGUGGGUAAUUGACCAAUUCCUUUAAAUAGGGUCUAUUAAUGAAGUUUACACUUUUGACAACCAGUCUGAUGCUUUUGCAGGAAAAUAUUCCUAGACACAAGACUUUUAUUCUUUAUUUUUUUAAGCCCUUUCAGUCUCCCAUCUCGAGGCUAAGUACAGUAAACUGUACAUUCCCACCAAGGCCAACACUCUCCCCAAGGCCGGAUUAUUUACUUCUGUGUAUCUGUGUCUCCCUUGUAUCUAUCUCUGAGCUGGCUCCCUGCCUGUUACGUUACAUGUGGGGAAACGCGUGUGGGGUUCCUCUUUGUCUAAUGUCUUCAAACUGUUCCUGCGCAUGCCUGACAAAUCUGCCCCAUUGUCAAAAUUUAUCUUUUCCCCCACCUCCAGUCUCCGUUGUUGUGUGUCCUGGCUGAGGGGAAAAACAGAAGACAGAUGGCCAUCGAUCAGGGAUGGUCUAGUUGAGAUUCCUGCAUUGCCCCAGGGGUUUGGCUAGAUGACCCUCAGAGGUCCCUUCCAACUCUACAAUUCUCUGGUGCAGGCUUGUGCAGAGUUUUAGGUACAAGUUGGAUGCAAGGGGUGCAUAGGAUUGCUGCCCAUCUUAUGCACCAUCAGCUCAGGAAUAAAUCCUGAUGAGACUAGAUUGCUGCUGUGCAGUCCUCUUUUUUAAAUAAAUGUUUUCCUUUUCAGAUAAUACAGAGCAUGGUGAAAUCACAAUAAAUAAAACAUCCCCUUCAGUAGUUUCAAGCACUACUAUAGGUUCCACAUAAUAUCUGUACUGCGUUGUUUACUGUGACAGCACUUGCACUUUGGAACUCCCUGCCUAUUGCAACAAGCAGGUGCCUUUGCUAGACUCUUUUCGGGCAUCUGCUAAAAGCAUUCUUCUUUAGGCAAGUGUACCUAGAUGCUUAGGAAGUUGAAGUAAUUUUAAUCUUAAUAUUUUAGCUUUUGUAUGUUUUAAAGUAGGAUUGUUAAUUUCUUUUUUUUUUAUAAUUGAUAUUUAUUGAAUUUUCAAAAAAUAACAACAAAAAUUUCCAAAAAAAAUUUAAGGAUACAAAAAACAAAAAUAGUACAUAAACAAAAAAGAAAAGAAAACCCAGCCGCAAAGAAAAAAAAAAGAGAAACAGAAAAACAAAAAUAUAAAGUCCUUUACAAUCUCUAUUGACUUCCUUUCUAGACUUCCUCCUCCUCCCCUCUUUUUGUUUCUUAAUUUUUAAUUUUUACAGCAAAUCCUUUCUGUUUUUUCAUAACAAUCUGUCAUUACGUUUCCUUAUUCUAUUUUCCCUCUUGUCAUAUAAAAACUUUAAAACUCAUAGCUUAUAUUCAAUAUUUACCAAAUUCUUGCAUCAUUACCUUUUACGAAUCAUUUACCAAUCCUUACUUAAGCCAUGUAAUUUCAUUCAACAUCCUUCAAACAUUUGUAAGCAUUCCCAAUAUUAAAAAUAAAAAGAAAAAAAUAAUAAGUCAAAUUCAGUCCAGUCAGCUUCCAACCUCCCCUCCCUGGACCCGGGAUUGUCAGUCCUUUUAACCUCGAUAAUCCGGCUCCUUAACCUGGUUGUCUCGUAUCCGAGGCCCUCAAGUCUCUUUCUUGCCCCUUUCGCCACUCUUGUUGAUGAUUCCUUUCCAGUCGUGGAUGCUCCAGCAAGAAAAUGCUUUUGACCCUUUGCAGCAAGUCCAUCCCAAACCCAUUGCCCAAGCCAGACAGCAAAUAAUACCACUUCAAAUUUCCACAAAGCUUGGAGACUUCGGCUACUCCAAUCCUCUGAUAGCCCAUCACCAGACUCGGAAGGUCCAAAUAACCAUAUGGAGGGGGUCGAUCCAUCCCCCAUUUCCAAAUCUGACCACAUUUCAUCUUUCCGAAUCUGGUUUGUCCUAAGUUCAUUUAUCAAGUUCAAAGGCUGAUCUUGCCCGUCCAAAGGUCCCUCCAUCUCUGAAGCCUCCGUCACUACAGCAGGUUCAUAUGCUUGUAUAGCCUUUAACUGAAUUUCAUUUGUUUGCUGCUGUGCUCUGGUAACUUCCAUCAUCAAGGUCGUCUCCUGACGCAUCUGGUCCAGCUGGGCACUUAGUUUUGAAAACCUUCCAGGAACAAUUGUUCAAGCCUUUGUACUAGCAUUGUCCUUCAAGGUCAAAGAAAAUUCUUUCCCACGAGAAUAGUCCAAUAGUCCUUCUCUUUUAAUCUCUCUGCGUUGCAAUUUCACUAAAUUCCACUAGAUGGAAUUUUUUUUUUUUUAAAGGAAUAAAAGCAACAGCAACAAUCUUUCUUUUUCCAGAAACACCUUAACCAAAAGGCCCCCUUCCAACUACCAGAGGCCACAGUAGAAUCAAAAUGUUACCCUUCUUUUAACUAACUGUCGAGCUGGAUAAACUUCAGAACGUCAAUUCUGACAGCCCGCUCCUGGUUCAGGGCGGUGGAAAAUUGCUUUAUUUUAAACUCACUUCCGCAGGAUUGAAAAGUCCAAAUACAACCCCCUUCUUCUCCUGCAGUCAAAGGGGGUUCAGAAAUCUUAGAUGUUGAAUUCUAGUUCUCUUAGAAUUUAAUUUUCAAGCUUUAGUAUAUUUUGUCUUUGCUUUCUUCACAUAACAAAAGAACGGAAGGCGACUUCCUGUUUAGACCUUCCCAUUCCGAGUCCCAAUUAAGUUCAAUUUCAAGUCCAAUAUUAUUUGUUUAUUCACCAGUCUUAAAAGUGGUUCAACUCUUCCAAGAUCAGGUACUCACGGAUAGAUAUUUUAGAUGCCAAAUUGUCCAGGAAAAAGGCAGCGCUCUCCGAUAACGGCAGUGCGGCUUUGCUGCACGGAGGAAGCAGACUACUCACAGCACCACGCACCUCCCACUCCGGAGCCCGUUACCGGGCUCCUGCACAAGGGAGAGAGCGCCUCGGUGCCCGCCGAGUCCCACGUCCACAGGCUUCUUCCGCCUGUGGUUUUUGCGGGUCCCCGCUGCGCCGUAGCGGCAGGACCCAAGCCUCCGUGCAGCGGGUUCCCUUCAGUCCGAAGGGAAUUCCGCCAUUUUCCGGAGGCGCCACCCCGGAAGUCAGGAUUGUUAAUUUCUUACUGCUGUGGGUUUUUUUGUUUUCUGUUUUGGUAAACCACUUUGCAGGUUUUUUAAAAUAAAUUUUAUUAAAUAAAUAAACAAUAAAUAUAAAUAAAAUAACACAAGCCAAAACACAAGCCAUCCUGUAGAUUUCAGUAUAUGUCCACAGUCGCCUACUUGUUAUCAGAGGCCCAGAAUCCGCAUUCCUUUGUAAGAAAAUACGAAAUAAAGUAAAACCAUUUUUGCAGGAUUUUUUUUUAAAAAAAAUCAAUGUGGGGGGUGACAAGAAAUUUUCUGCACCAAGUACCACCUGACCUUCCUAUGCCUCUGCGUGAAUCCCCUCCUUUUGAAAAUGUUGAUAGCUCUAUGAUAGUUUUUGUUAUGUAAAUGGGGCUACAGACACCUUGGGUGGGUUACGCAAAGCCUCUGGGAUUCCCAGACAAACAAUUGGGAACCACUGCUAUAAGGUUUUAACUGGCUGCAGGGUUUGUAAGGCUUCAGCUGGUUUUAAGUUGGCUUAUUACGCUGUUUUGAUUAGGCUGUUUAUUAUAGCUGGUUUUAUUAUCUUUAUGUUUGCAUUGUAUAAGAUACUCAUGUUAUUGUGUGUACUUAGUUUCUUACUGCUCCAUAUUUUAAUAGUACAUGGAGGCUGCUUUCGGAGGCAGAUACCAUAAAAGACAAUCUACACAUCUUUAGAAAUUAGAAGGCGGGGAGGGGGGAGAAAAGGAGGCCCUUCCAGCAGCUAUGGUCCUUGCAGCCAAAUAGUCAUAGAAAGAAAUUAGAAAUGAGAGAAAUCAGUUGACAUCUUGCAAUGGGAUAAAGGCAUAGGGGGCAUAACAUCAUUGACAGUAUGCACAUAUUUUAUAAAUAUAUAUAGAAGAAAGUGCACCAAACAAAUUUAUUGGAAAAACGAAGUCUAUUUGUCUUGGAAUUUUACAUUCCAACAAUGAACAAUGUUCAACUGUACAUAUUAUUUUCAUUCAUGUAAACUGACAUUCUGCUUAAAAUAUCAUAGUAUCCGGAGAUAUCUACACUCUUUAAACCAUGAUUUCAUUUUGUAUAUGGAUACAUCAUGAUAUUUUGAUAGUUAUAUGAAUGUUGCCUAUAUAAAUGAAACAUUUAUUUUGCAAUUUUUUUCUUAAUAGAGGGGAGAAAGGAAGAGGAGAUUAUAAUAUUAGGUUUGGCCAUUGACCAUACAGCAAUAUCAAUAAUGGCAGCCUCCCUUCCUCUGAACUCUUUCCCUUCAUCUCAUUCCAAGGGAAUCUGUUCAACUACUAUUUGUAGAUGAAAACAUCCUGUAACCGUCAAAAAAAGAAGCAGGAUGUCUUUGGAACACCCCCCACCCCAACUGUGAUGCCAUGGCCAAAGAAUAUUCUAACUCAGGGUCAACAGAAAGAUACUGGAAUUAGUGGGGUUUUAAUGACUGUGUUCUCAUCUGAAAGGCAGGGAGAUGAAUACUUUCUCCAGCAAUUUCCUCUUGCAGUCGUGCUUUGAGGAAGCACCCUCCAGUCAUAAAUUCUGAGCAGUGCAGGACCUUCUGUCUCCCUUAUGAAAAGCUAAUAUAAUUGAUGAGAUCUGGCUGGAUUAUGCACUUCUGUGACAGGCAAUCUGCAUUUAUUUUCUCACUUGUUAUGACAUUAGUGGCAUUCUCGGGAGUCAGGAGUUCACAUCUGGCUCACAUUUAUUAUGGGGUUCACCUUGAGUAUUUUGCCAUAUAAGGGCUUUUAUUUUUUGGUCGGGUUUCACAAUUGAGGCAGCAGGCUGUAGAAUACAUGCCCACCAUGGACUGUGUCUUAGGAUUUGUUAAACGCACUGCAUAUUCAUUCAAAACAUUGAUUUUUCAAGCUAUGUCCUGUGGAAGCCUUGGGUUGUUUUGGAAUCCAGCAUGGAUUGUCCAUAAGAAAAUUAGUGCUGUGGCAAAAAAAUAAAAAUCCCGUGUUGUUGUUCCUCACCCAGCCGCUUUCUAUCAAUUAAUGACAAAGAAAUCGCAUAUAACAUUUACCUAUGGGGAAAUGGAAUUUCGUUUCUUUUGUUGUUGCCACACUUUCCAUACUGUUAUAAACACAACUAGAAUAUAAUAAAUAACAACAAUAGCAGCUAGUCUGUCAUUAAUGGGAAAAGCUGUAUCACCAGCUUAAGGGCUGGAACCACUACUUAGAACCAGUUUAUAGUUCAUAUUAAAGACUCUAAUCUAAUAGGUCUCUCCAGAUGUUUCCAUGGGUCUAGGGAGGUUGUCUCAAUUCAUUAGCGCAUCUCAUAUGGAAGGUAAAUAGAUGCUGGGUGUUGUAGAAGUAUAAAGGACUCAUCUUGCCUCUGGUCUGACAGGUCAGUUUCUCAACCAGAGCAACAGACCACACCUGAGCAUACCAUGAGUCUACUGACAGGCCUGUUGCAGGAUGCUAUAUUAUCAUUAUCAUCAUCAUCAUCUUCUUCUUCUUCUUCUUCUUCUUCUUCUUCUUCUUCUUAUUGGGUUUUAUAAACGGGGAUCAUAGGAAUAAUAAGUGAUAGAAAUAAAGAAGGCCAAGUCUUCUAAUGUCAUUUGUAUAUCACAAAUUUGGAGUAAUAUCUACAACAUAUGGUUCUUUAUUAGUGGUCAGUGUACAAAUUCUAGGUUCAUGGCGUGGUUUAAAUAAAAGCAAUAACGAAGGGGAAACAGGGUAGAGUUAAUAGAUAACAUUCAACAUCACAUAAAUGCGUAAUCAAGAGCCUUUGUGGUUGUACUUAGAACACCCCUGGUUCCUCCCCCCCCCCCCGUCCCACUUGUUGUUGUUGUUUAGUCAUUUAGUCGUGUCCAACUCCUCAUGACCCCAUGGACCAGACCACGCCAGGCACUCCUGUCUUCCACUGCCUCCCGCAGUUUGGUCAGACUCAUGUUGGUACCUUUGAGAACACUGUCCAACCAUCUCGUCCUAUGUCGUCCCCUUCUCCUUGUGCCCUCAAUAUUUCCCAACAUCAGGGUUUUCUCUUCUCAUGAGGUGACCACAAGUAUUGGAGCCUCAGCUUCACGAUCUGUCCUUCCAGUGAGCACUCAGGGCUGAUUUCCUUAAGAAUGGAUAGGUUUGAUCUUCUUGCAGUCCAUGGGACUCGCAAGAGUCUCCUCCAGCACCAUAAUUCAAAAGCAUCAAUUCUUUGGCGAUCAGCCUUCUUUAUGGUGUACUUAGAAUAAGUAUGAGUAAUAGUAAUUUUUCCUCUUAUGUUGCCAAUGAGACUAUACUGAUGAGCGUGGGAGGGGUGGUUCAAAGUGAAGACAGUAAUUUAAAUUUAAAUUUAGAUCAACCAGAUUGAGCCAAAUGCUAUUGCAGGGAUUGUUCAUUUUCUGGAAAACUGGCAUAUAUGUGAAAUUAAGACACACCAAGGUAAAGCCAUCUUUCUUGAACUAUGUGUCAGCCAUUGCCUGUUUGUCAAUCUCUCAAGGAGAGCUGUUUCCCAAACUGUUUUGUACCAGUUGUCAAUUGUUGUGCCAGAAAGGUCUUUCCAGUGUCUGGUUAUGUUGUGUCACGUCUCUUGUAAUAAGGCCUUAUUAAUUAUUUAUUAUGUAAAUCCAGGUAGUGGAGACUGUUGUGUCUUUAAGAAAUAUGGUUUAUUUUUUACAUAUUUAUACCAGAAGCUUUCAAUGGAGGGAGUACAGAGUUGACAGCAUUCAACAUCUCAAGAGGGGCUGUUCCCCACAGCAGUGAAGCAUCAGAUUCCAAGACACCUCCAUGUUUUUGACCCAGCCUGCCUUCAGCCAGCCCACCAAGAUUGUUCUGACCUUCAGCCCCCUCAUGACGUUCUACCUGUUUCCUGCUUCUCCUUCCCAACAAACCCCUUGCCAAACAACUCAUCCCCUUCUUUCUGCUAUUCCAAAACUAGCUUUAAAAGGUGACAAUUUUCCUGUGUGACACCAUGCCCAAAUUGCCCUGGCAACUUUCCCCUCAGUUACCUGUAGGCUCUUUUGUCUUGUAGAUGGCUUAGUGGCAGGGCCAUCAUUUCCCUCUGCCCCUCUGUUUGGAAGAAAACCAAUCUCAGCCUCUCAUUUCUGCUUAAACCCCAGCAUCCAAGAAUCUGGAGAGGAAAUCUGGCACCCAAGGAUCUAGGAUCCAUCCCCCCCUCCAACCCAUAACAGUGUAUAUCUGGCUUCCACCUUCAAAACUACAAACCACAGAAUCCUGGAAUUGUGACAGUCCUAACUGGGAGUGAGUGGAGAGGAAAUGAAUGGUUUAUUUGAUUCGGACCAUAUCUGUUCAACAAGCAACAGCUGGAGUGGAGCAGAAGUUAAAAAUAGCAAUUGAGCACUUUCCAGGGAGAGAGGGAGG